AUGGCACUAAUUACUGAGUGUUUGAAGAAAGGAAAGUUCCAAUGGGCAGAAGAAGCUGAAGCUAGCUUCAAUGAGAUUAAACAAAAGCUAUCGCAAGCUCCUGUCUUGGUACUACCUGAUUUUAACAAGACUUUUGAGUUGGAGUGUGAUGCAAGUGGAGUGGGCAUUGGUGUUGUCCUAUCUCAAGAAAGGAAGCCCAUUGCUUUCUUUAGUGAGAAGUUAAGUGAAGCUAGACAUAAAUGGAGUACCUAUCAGCAAGAAUUAUGUGCUGCUUUCAGAGCGUUGAAAACUUGGGAAGUCUAUUUGCUGCCUAAAGAGUUCAUUGUUUAUAGUGACCAUCAAUCCUUGAAGCAUUUUAGAAAUCAAAAGCAUGUUGACCGCAUGCUAGCAAGAUGA
Molecule: ribosomal RNA, 396 nt
Filed under: Triticum aestivum (bread wheat)
Lineage: Eukaryota; Viridiplantae; Streptophyta; Magnoliopsida; Poales; Poaceae
Description: partial small subunit ribosomal RNA
Source: RNAcentral